This is a long non-coding RNA of Styela clava, 374 nucleotides long. RefSeq lists it as uncharacterized. The record is from RefSeq and is a predicted model, not a curated record. NCBI's taxonomy places the organism in Eukaryota, Metazoa, Chordata, Ascidiacea, Stolidobranchia, Styelidae.
UUUUAAAAGAACAAAAAAUUAUACCUCAGUGCAUCUGAUACUUCGGAAACGGACAUUCCAGAGAGGUCAUAUGGUGGAAUCCAAUUUCUUGGCGACUAGAUAAUUUGAAAAGAGAAAAUUGAAUAAUUGUGAAAAUUGAAUUGAAAUACUGAUAGUUUAACUUACUGGAACAUAGUUACAAGCAAAGGAAACAUGUUGUAAUGGAUUGCUGUCAUCACUUAUAACAGAGAACUGAGAAACAUGAUAAAAUCCUGUAAUGAAAAACAAUUACAGACAAUCUUAACACAUUUUACCAUCCCGUUGACGACCUGAUUUCGAAGUGCUGGAACUGCUUGUUGAUGACGUCGACGGGAAUGUUGAACUUUGAGAAUUUU